This 808-nucleotide ribosomal RNA is filed under the name Boeremia exigua var. exigua. Its description in RNAcentral is "eukaryotic LSU rRNA". It matches the Rfam family "Eukaryotic large subunit ribosomal RNA", at positions 75 to 899 of the family's 3401-position model. Lineage: Eukaryota; Fungi; Ascomycota; Dothideomycetes; Pleosporales; Didymellaceae. The record is from RNAcentral.
UGGCCCUAGUAACGGCGAGUGAAAGCGGCAACAGCUCAAAUUUGAAAUCUGGCGUCUAAGGCGUCCGAGUUGUAAUUUGCAGAGGGCGCUUUGGCAUUGGCAGCGGUCCAAGUUCCUUGGAACAGGACGUCACAGAGGGUGAGAAUCCCGUACGUGGUCGCUAGCCUUUACCGUGUAAAGCCCCUUCGACGAGUCGAGUUGUUUGGGAAUGCAGCUCUAAAUGGGAGGUAAAUUUCUUCUAAAGCUAAAUACUGGCCAGAGACCGAUAGCGCACAAGUAGAGUGAUCGAAAGAUGAAAAGCACUUUGGAAAGAGAGUUAAAAAGCACGUGAAAUUGUUGAAAGGGAAGCGCUUGCAGCCAGACUUGCCUGUAGUUGCUCAUCCGGGUUUUUACCCGGUGCACUCUUCUAUAGGCAGGCCAGCAUCAGUUUGGGCGGUUGGAUAAAGGUCUCUGUCACGUACCUCCUCUCGGGGAGAACUUAUAGGGGAGACGUAAUGCAACCAGCCUGGACUGAGGUCCGCGCAUCUGCUAGGAUGCUGGCGUAAUGGCUGUAAGCGGCCCGUCUUGAAACACGGACCAAGGAGUCUAACAUCUAUGCGAGUGUUUGGGUGUCAAGCCCGAGCGCGUAAUGAAAGUGAACGGAGGUGGGAACCUUUCGGGGUGCACCAUCGACCGAUCCUGAUGUCUUCGGAUGGAUUUGAGUAAGAGCAUAGCUGUUGGGACCCGAAAGAUGGUGAACUAUGCUUGAAUAGGGUGAAGCCAGAGGAAACUCUGGUGGGAGGCUCGCAGCGGUUCUGACGUGCAAAUC